Molecule: long non-coding RNA, 305 nt
Organism: Anguilla anguilla (European eel)
Lineage: Eukaryota; Metazoa; Chordata; Actinopteri; Anguilliformes; Anguillidae
Exons: 3
Source: RefSeq, a predicted model, not a curated record
AUGAAUUGCUAUCAGCUAUCACCAAAAUUAUCUCACCGUAUUGUGUUCAUGGAGCAAAACUCAAAUGUUUGCAUUUACUUGCAAGUCAAAGUAAAGGAUACAUGUUGACUGAGCCCUUUGUCUGACAGGUUCCUCACCCCCAAACACGUGGUGAAAACAGCUCACUGAGACAGUCCUGAUGGGAUUGGGCUGCUGAAGUGUCAAGGCCAGCGAAGCACUCAGCAAAGCAUUCAGGUAAACAGCCAGGAAAUGACUGAGGAGGGGCUGACGGCCAAGAUCCUCGGAAUCUCGUGGAUUAAGGGGAG